Molecule: unclassified non-coding RNA, 717 nt
Filed under: Hevea brasiliensis (rubber tree)
Lineage: Eukaryota; Viridiplantae; Streptophyta; Magnoliopsida; Malpighiales; Euphorbiaceae
Source: RNAcentral
AUAGAAAGUCUAAAUGUAUGUUCUGUAGCCACAAAGGGGUCGAGGGAGAACUUAAUAGCUACAGAACAUACAUUUAGACUUUCUAUUUCGAUUGUACAUGCAACUUUUACGAAUUAUGCUUUCAUGUACAACAAUAAUGAACGAGAAGGCUAACCAGGACUUCUCCUCAAGGUCCCAGCAUCAAUCAGCUAUGCACAUUAUACACAUUGUGAUUUUCUGUUCACCAGAAGGGGCACCACCCAACAUAAUUUUGGCACAAAUUUUCUUGUGAAGUGGCUUGGAUAAUCAGCUUCUGAACUUGCAAUUUAACAGAUAAGCCAUGAUCUACUUCCCGACUAUCUCCUAAAAUUAAGGAGCUAUGGUCUACUGCAUGUUGGAUAGACAAGGAAGANAAAAAAGAAAAAAACAGAAGAUGGGGGGAAAAAACCACGUCCAGUCAUUUUUUUACUCCUCGGAGCCAUGACAACCACAGCACGCUCGUUCAAAACCUCAUUAGCAUCACCAAGCAGAUUAACAGCCUGAAGAAGUUCUCUCUCACGAGCACUUCGUUGAGGUUGAGGAAGCUCUCUACUAGGAGCAGAUUCCUCAGCAUUUACAACAGCAGAAGUAUGAGUAUUCCCAAACAUUGACAUUUGAGGGACUUCAUUGAAGUUGAAAAGACGCCAGUUGAUGAGGGGAUCAUGAACAAAUGCCUCCAUCAUUGCCAUCACACUAUCC